UACAGAGGUCUCAAGCGUUGUUCGGAUUCAUUGGGCGUAAAGGGUGCGUAGGCGGUGCGGCAAGUCGGGAGUGAAAUCUCUGGGCUCAACCCAGAGGCUGCUUCCGAAACUGCUGUGCUUGAGUGUGGGAGAGGCGCGUGGAAUUGCAGGUGUAGCGGUGAAAUGCGUAGAUAUCUGCAGGAACACCCGUGGCGAAAGCGGCGCGCUGGACCACUACUGACGCUGAAGAACGAAAGCUAGGGGAGCAAACAGG
This 253-nucleotide ribosomal RNA is filed under the name uncultured bacterium. RNAcentral's name for it is "partial 16S ribosomal RNA". It matches the Rfam family "Bacterial small subunit ribosomal RNA", at positions 524 to 776 of the family's 1533-position model. The record is from RNAcentral.